Small nuclear RNA from Zalophus californianus (California sea lion), 103 nucleotides. Lineage: Eukaryota; Metazoa; Chordata; Mammalia; Carnivora; Otariidae. The record is from Ensembl.
GUGCUCAUGUCAUCAGCAUAUAUACUAAAAUUAGAAUGAUAGAAGAUUAGCAUGGCACCUGCAUAAAGAUGACAUGCAAAUUUGUGAAGUGUAUUCCGUUGUG